This 896-nucleotide long non-coding RNA is filed under the name Capra hircus (goat). RNAcentral's name for it is "lncRNA (ENSCHIG00000004230.1)". Lineage: Eukaryota; Metazoa; Chordata; Mammalia; Artiodactyla; Bovidae. The record is from RNAcentral.
GUGGCGUCAUGCUUUAAGUCUCCAGGCCUGAGAUAUUUUUAAAGCCAGCGUUACUGAGGUAUAGAAUUUGCACAAUAACAUGCAUCCCUUUUCUGUGUGCAGUGGCACGAGCGCUGGCCAACGUUUACACCCAGGCGUCCGCUGCCACCAUGUUCAGAUAUAGAACACUGACAUCACUCCACACUUCCUUGUGUUCACGGAUCUCCUUUCUGCCACUGAAGAUGUGAUUUGCCAUUUCUAGAGCUUCUGCUGUCUUUUCCAUGGAGUGUCUUCAUGUUCAGGUGGCUAUGGAGAGGCUGCUGCAGUUACCUCUCACAUCUACACAUGGUGACGACAAAGAUCAAGAGAGGGAGCUAGGAGGAAGGGCUAUGUCCUUGCUUUCUCUGUCUGUUCUCCAAACAGCAACCAAAGCAAUCCUGAGAAAGUUGAAAGCUUCUACUACUGGGGCCAUGUGUCUCCUGCCUUGUGUCCCCGUGUGCCCCCUGGACCUUGCUGUAGAGAAGACUCAAGUGAGAUUUCCUGUCUUCACAGACUCAGUAAACAUCUCACUCCUAGGCAGGACACUGGCUGAGCUGAUGAAACCUGUGGGUCCUCUGGGGCUGCCAGUGGAAGAAUUCAUGGACAGCCUGGCAAGUCUCCCCAGGAGUCUGGAAAUGUACAGAAGCAGAGAGACUGGAACCAGCUCCUGGCCAGACAUGCUGAAGGGCCCCAGUGGGCGUUCAACCUGCAGCUCCCCCCGUCACUCACUGAGGGUGGGACCCGCACCUGAUAGUGUCAUGCACACGGCAGGAAAGUCCAUGAGCUCCCAAUAUGUGCCAGAACAUGAGUGCCAGGGGUGGGCACUGACAGCCUCUGCUUCAGGGGGUGGAGGGAGGCUGAAACAGGAUGUGAGAUGA